UAAUACGUAGGGGGCAAGCGUUGUCCGGAAUGAUUGGGCGUAAAGGGCGCGUAGGCGGCCUGGUAAGUCUGGAGUGAAAGUCCUGCUUUUAAGGUGGGAAUUGCUUUGGAUACUGUCGGGCUUGAGUGCAGGAGAGGUAAGUGGAAUUCCCGGUGUAGCGGUGAAAUGCGUAGAGAUCGGGAGGAACACCAGUGGCGAAGGCGACUUACUGGACUGUAACUGACGCUGAGGCGCGAAAGUGUGGGGAGCAAACAGG
RNAcentral lists this ribosomal RNA (256 nucleotides) under uncultured bacterium. RNAcentral describes it as "partial 16S ribosomal RNA". It matches the Rfam family "Bacterial small subunit ribosomal RNA", at positions 521 to 776 of the family's 1533-position model. The record is from RNAcentral.